Molecule: long non-coding RNA, 2154 nt
Organism: Uranotaenia lowii
Lineage: Eukaryota; Metazoa; Arthropoda; Insecta; Diptera; Culicidae
Exons: 4
Source: RefSeq, a predicted model, not a curated record
GUAAUUUUGGAUUAUUCAGAGACUGAAUUGCUUUUAUUCAGCCGUCGCACUAUGUAUGAAGAUGAAAACAAUUGAAUCGGUAUUAAUCAAAAUUCUGAGUUGUUUUCAUCUAGAGAGUUUCAAAACCUGGAAAUUAGUGAAGACCCGCACUUUUUUGCUCAUAAUAGAUGAAAACAACUCAGAGUGAUGAAAACACUGUUUGCGAUGUUCGGAGCAGCAGGCAACGAAAAUAUCAUGGUAAGUACAAAUUUAAAUUCCAUAAUCUAUGCCAAUAUAAAAACAGUAUAUUUCAUGUGAUUUCAAAUGAAACAAAUUAAAUUUAACCGACUUAUCUUCUUUUGUAAACAUCUUUACCGAAUACGGGUUAAAUUUCAAAACAUUUUUUGUUUGUUCAUUUUUGUUUCCCUCCAGGUUGGUUUGCAACGCAACUUUUAGCCUAUGGGAUCGGUGGAGGCUCCGGCUGAAUAGCAGACCACUCCAUACAACCUUCAGGACCGAGAAUGUCUUCGGAUGGAAUCUGUAAGCCACAGGAGGACGAUGCUACUAAUCGAACCUGUAGAAAAUUGCUGGUCAUCAAAUGGCGAAAAACAAAAAUGCGACGGGUCUAUUCCCGCCGGGAAAUUCCGAAAAAUUGUAUCUCAAAGCCAUCCUCUAGGUGACACGAAUCGAAAAAAAAAACAUUACGCAGUCGGAUUUCUCGGUGGAUUCAGGCUUGCCAGAAUCAGCUCACUCCCAUAGUUUUUCUUCGAAAAUUCAGCGCUGCAUUAUUUCAUUCAUUGCCAUCUAUUUUACAACCGGGUUGUUCGCUUUGCUUAUAUGCCCGGAUCACCAAUUUGUCACCAAACUUGGUGAUCAUCAGACGAUUCUAAUCAGUCCGGAACUUGACGUCGUAACAGGAUUUUAGCUAGUGAGAGCAUAUAAUUAUCAGUCGCUUCAAUAAUACUGGAAUUUCCUUCGACUCAAAAGGUAUUGACUCGAUUCAUAUUUUCCACCUAAACUAUUCAUAAGAAUGCGUACCUAUUUUAAAUAUUUUUUUUACUUACUAGAAAUGAAGCCAUCCAACAACCUGAACGACACCGAACAAACAAAAAUAGUUUAAAAAAAUGCUCACAACAAGGACGAAUUGGGAUUUUUAUGUUUAAUAUUAAAUGUUCGUGAAAUGAAUAAUGCAAACAAUGCUUCGACUGAUCGGAGAGUUGUUGGAGGUAUGGGAGGGCCGAACCAGAUUGGAGGAAUGCAACUUUAGCCAGAGCACCCACAACCUGAAAAGCAAGCCGGUGAACCAGGAGGCGCUAAAUAAAUGGACCGAACAAAAUAAAUUUAUUUAUCUGUCUGUAGAAUCUGUCAACAGAAUUCCCCAGGAAUGGAUCAAAAUCCUCAACAAAUGGACCAUGAGCCAAAUGAAUCGAAACGUUGGAAGUCCAGGUGGAAGUGCCACUGUAAGUUGGAACUUAGCAGCUGGCUCAAGCCGGAAUGGCAGGAAUAUGUCCAGGUGGACCGAAUAAUUUGCAAACAGCUCCAGGUCAACAACCAAAUCAAAAUGCACCAAAUGUUGGACCGGGUCAUUUGAAUCCUAGAAACGUGGAUCCUGGUGGAAACAUUCCCGGAUGGGUCCUUCGUCUUUGCUAUAGUUGAUAUCCUCACGGAUGGAUAUCAGAAUAGGAAAAAAAUAUUUUGAAAAAAAUUGGAUACACCAUUGGCAGCUAUGACGCCAUUCAAAUAUGUCGAUGUUUGCGCAAUGGAACUAUUCAUCAAAACCUAGAGAUUUUCACAGGCGCAGAUAAUCUUCGGUAGGUUAAGUUUAGUUUUUUUUUUUGCAAUAAAUCAGGAUUCAAUACAAAAUUUAUCGAAAACGACAGCCGCAUUACUAUCAGCAUUACGAAGGUGGAGGUGGUCGUUUUGGGCUGGCCAGAAUGAACACACUUUCAAGUUGUUCGGGAAUUUUGCUAGAUUGAAUUCCUCCGGAUGUGGCUAAGGUACCGGGAUCGGCGGAAGUUAUACCACACCAGACGCUCCUCAAGAGCAUGAACGGCAUCAGGAAAUUCGUUUGUUUGCAUGAUGGAAACGAAGUGGUACUCCACAACAGAAAAAAAAUUGCUGGCUGCCCUUACUAAUUCCGGUGGAAAAAAAUCGACGGGAAAUAAACGUAUUUUC